UUGUCUCAAAGAUUAAGCCAUGCAUGUCUCAGUACAAGCCAUAUUAAGGUGAAACCGCGAAAGGCUCAUUAAAUCAGUUAUGGUUCCUUAGAUCGUACCCACAUUUACUUGGAUAACUGUGGUAAUUCUAGAGCUAAUACAUGCAAACAGAGCUCCGACCGGAGACGGAAGGAGCGCUUUUAUUAGAUCAAAACCAAUCGGUGGCGGGUUCGCUCGUCAUCGUACAACUUGGUGACUCUGAAUAACUUUACGCUGAUCGCAUGGUCUCGCACCGGCGACGCAUCUUUCAAAUGUCUGCCUUAUCAACUGUCGAUGGUAGGUUCUGCGCCUACCAUGGUUGUAACGGGUAACGGGGAAUCAGGGUUCGAUUCCGGAGAGGGAGCCUGAGAAACGGCUACCACAUCCAAGGAAGGCAGCAGGCGCGCAAAUUACCCACUCCCGGCACGGGGAGGUAGUGACGAAAAAUAACGAUACGGGACUCUUCCGAGGCCCCGUAAUCGGAAUGAGUACACUCUAAACCCUUUAACGAGGAUCAAUUGGAGGGCAAGUCUGGUGCCAGCAGCCGCGGUAAUUCCAGCUCCAAUAGCGUAUAUUAAAGUUGUUGCGGUUAAAAAGCUCGUAGUCGAAUUUGUGUCCCGCGCCGCCGGUUCAUCGCACGCGGUGUUAACUGGCGUGCCGCGGGACGUCCUGCCGGUGGACUUAGCCUUCGCGGGCGGUCCAACUCAAUCCCACCGCGGUGCUCUUUACUGAGUGUCGAGGUGGGCCGGCACGUUUACUUUGAACAAAUUAGAGUGCUCAAAGCAGGCUAAAACUUCGCCUGAAUACGUGUGCAUGGAAUAAUGGAAUAGGAUCUCGGUUCUAUUUUGUUGGUUUUCGGAACCCCGAGGUAAUGAUUAAUAGGAACGGAUGGGGGCAUUCGUAUUGCGACGUUAGAGGUGAAAUUCUUGGAUCGUCGCAAGACGAACAGAAGCGAAAGCAUUUGCCAAAAACGCUUUCAUUGAUCAAGAACGAAAGUUAGAGGUUCGAAGGCGAUCAGAUACCGCCCUAGUUCUAACCAUAAACGAUGCCAGCUAGCGAUCCGCCGACGUUCCUCCGAUGACUCGGCGGGCAGCUUCCGGGAAACCAAAGCUUUUGGGUUCCGGGGGAAGUAUGGUUGCAAAGCUGAAACUUAAAGGAAUUGACGGAAGGGCACCACCAGGAGUGGAGCCUGCGGCUUAAUUUGACUCAACACGGGAAACCUCACCAGGCCCGGACACCGGAAGGAUUGACAGAUUGAGAGCUCUUUCUUGAUUCGGUGGGUGGUGGUGCAUGGCCGU
This 1316-nucleotide ribosomal RNA is filed under the name Bruchidius securiger. Its description in RNAcentral is "SSU rRNA". It matches the Rfam family "Eukaryotic small subunit ribosomal RNA", at positions 32 to 1291 of the family's 1831-position model. Lineage: Eukaryota; Metazoa; Arthropoda; Insecta; Coleoptera; Chrysomelidae. The record is from RNAcentral.